UGCUGGCUUUUGCAAGUGCACGUUGGUGGCUUUCAUCCAAUACCCCUGUGAACUUUGGCCUCUUGCUAGCUUCGGCUGGCAGAGGAUUUACACACACUCAAAUGUAAUGAAAACUAUUGUCGUGCGCAAGCACUAAUGUACAACUUUCAACAACGGAUCUCUUGGCUCUCGCAUCGAUGAAGAACGCAGCGAAAUGCGAUAAGUAAUGUGAAUUGCAGAAUUCAGUGAAUCAUCGAAUCUUUGAACGCACCUUGCACCCUUUGGUAUUCCGAAGGGUAUGCUCGUUUGAGUGUCAUUGUACUCUCACUCUCUCUGAUCCUUUGGAUUCAGGGAGUGGUGGACUUGGGUGUUUGCUGCUUCCUUGUGGCUCACCUCAAAUGCGUCAGUGCACCUCUUGAUUGGACAUAGUACGGCGUGAUAAGUAUCUUCGCCGGCACCUCGCAAGAGGUGGCCGAUUGGGAGCUCUGUGCUUUCAACCGUCUUCGGACA
RNAcentral lists this ribosomal RNA (489 nucleotides) under uncultured Sebacina. RNAcentral describes it as "eukaryotic LSU rRNA". The stretch from base 142 to 295 matches the Rfam family "5.8S ribosomal RNA". The record is from RNAcentral. Lineage: Eukaryota; Fungi; Basidiomycota; Agaricomycetes; Sebacinales; Sebacinaceae.